GAAGGGAUAACUCAGUGGUAGAGUGUGUGCUUAAUACGCACGAGGUCCUGGGUUCAAUUCCCAGUACCGCCA
This is a non-coding RNA of Vicugna pacos (alpaca), 72 nucleotides long. The record is from the annotation of a RefSeq genome assembly. Lineage: Eukaryota; Metazoa; Chordata; Mammalia; Artiodactyla; Camelidae.